This 1077-nucleotide ribosomal RNA is filed under the name uncultured bacterium. Its description in RNAcentral is "bacterial SSU rRNA". It matches the Rfam family "Bacterial small subunit ribosomal RNA", at positions 8 to 1083 of the family's 1533-position model. The record is from RNAcentral.
AGAGUUUGAUACUGGCUCAGAUUGAACGCUGGCGGCAGGCCUAACACAUGCAAGUCGAGCGGUUGAGGUAGCUUGCUACCGAUGCAGCGGCGGACGGGUGAGUAAUACAUGGGAAUCUGCCUGGUAGUGGGGGACAACGUUUCGAAAGGAACGCUAAUACCGCAUACGCCCUACGGGGGAAAGGGGGGGAUCUUCGGACCUCUCGCUAUCAGAUGAGCCCAUGUCGGAUUAGCUUGUUGGUGAGGUAAAGGCUCACCAAGGCGACGAUCCGUAACUGGUCUGAGAGGAUGAUCAGUCACACUGGAACUGAGACACGGUCCAGACUCCUACGGGAGGCAGCAGUGGGGAAUAUUGGACAAUGGGCGCAAGCCUGAUCCAGCCAUGCCGCGUGUGUGAAGAAGGCCUUAGGGUUGUAAAGCACUUUCAGUGGGGAGAAAGGUCAUUCACCUAAUACGUGAGUGAAUUGAUGUUACCCACAGAAGAAGCACCGGCUAACUCCGUGCCAGCAGCCGCGGUAAUACGGAGGGUGCAAGCGUUAAUCGGAAUUACUGGGCGUAAAGCGUACGUAGGUGGUUUGUUAAGCCAGCUGUGAAAUCCCCGGGCUCAACCUGGGCACUGCGGUUGGAACUGGCAAGCUAGAGUAGGGUAAAGGGGUGUGGAAUUCCAGGUGUAGCGGUGAAAUGCGUAGAUAUCUGGAGGAACAUCAGUGGCCAAGGCGACACCCUGGACUCAUACUGACACUGAGGUACGAAAGCGUGGGGAGCAACAGGAUUAGAUACCCUGGUAGUCCACGCCGUAAACGAUGUCUACUAGCCGUUGGGAGCCUUGAGCUCUUAGUGGCGCAGCUAACGCACUAAGUAGACCGCCUGGGGAGUACGGUCGCAANAUUAAAACUCAAAUGAAUUGACGGGGGCCCGCACAAGCGGUGGAGCAUGUGGUUUAAUUUGACUCAACGCGAAGAACCUUACCAGGUCUUGACAUCCAGAGAACUUUCCACAGAUGGAUUGGUGCCUUCGGGAGCUCUGAGACAGGUGCUGCAUGGCUGUCCUCAGCUCGAGUCGUGAGAUGUUGGGUUAA